Canis lupus familiaris (dog) is the source of this 2383-nucleotide long non-coding RNA. RefSeq lists it as uncharacterized. The transcript is spliced from 3 exons. NCBI's taxonomy places the organism in Eukaryota, Metazoa, Chordata, Mammalia, Carnivora, Canidae. The record is from RefSeq and is a predicted model, not a curated record.
AGAAUUUUGGUACUGAGAAGGGGUUUUAAAGAUCUUCUAGUCCAGCUGAGCCAAGAGACAGAGAGAACUUAGCAGUGACAAUGCAGGACCAGAAAUCAGGCCUCCUUGUCCUAUUCUACUAUCAUUUCCAAUGCUCCAGAAAAUCUUUACAAAAUAAGGGUGAAUGGGAGAGAAACUUUUGAGUCCUCACAUGAGCAAAAAUGCCUUUAUUCUAUGCUUACCUCUGGUAGUCUGGCCAUAUUUAAGAUUCUUAGUUUGAAAGAAUUUUCCCUCCAAAUUUCAAAAGCAUUUACCUUUGUCUUCUAGAUUCUAGUGUCACUUAUGAUUUUUGGAGCCAUUUUUCCUAUUCCUUGGUGGAGACUUGUUUUAUUCCCUCAGAACCAUUUAAGGACUAUCAGUGAAUUUCCAGUUUUCUGUAAUUUUCAUGGUGAUGUACCACGGCAUGAGAUUUUCUCCUUUCUUUCUUUUAAAAAUAAAAUUCAGAGUGCUGUGCAUACUUUUCACUUCUGAAAAAAGUGAAAUAUGCUCUCGGAAAUUUUUCUCUCCAUUUUUUUCUUUUUGCUCUCUCUAAAUAAUUAGAGAGUUUGGAUGUUGGACACCUCUGAUUUUCUUCUAUUUUCAUCUCAGUUUGCUUUACUUUCUGGGAGAUUUUUGCAACUUUAUCCUAGCUAUUGACAUUUUUUUUUUUUUUUUGCUAUUGACAUUUUUAUCUCACAUCCUGUUCUGUUUUAUGGCCACUAUAUCUUCUCUCACAUCUCUGAAGAACUUAAGGGUUGUUAUGAGAAUUAAAUGAAUUACACCUGUGAAGCACUGAGGACCAUUGUCUGAUCAUAAAUUGCCUCCACCCCCUACACCGCGUGCUGGUAACUGGGUAGACCCUCUGCUGUAGACACACCGUCCACUACCACUUCCUGGGCAACCAUGUCCACAUUGCUCCCUGCUGCUGCUGGGGUCCAGAUGCUCGUGUCCUUUGGGAAGGUGCUGAGGUUAGUGGCUGAUGAAUGGGGGAGGCAGGAUGGGCGACAUAGAAUAGCUGUCCGCACAGCCAUGACGGCCAGUGACAGGAUGGUCGUGGGCAGCUGGGAUCACAGCUGGGAAUCAGAUUAAGGAACUGAAUAAGAAAUGGACAGAGCCUUGGUUUCUGGAAAAAGUCAAGAUGAGAGCAAUCAAUAUGUGGAGGCUCUGGGCAGAGGGUGAUGGAGUCAGGAGAAGGGCAAAGAUUUAGGUUCAUGUUCUGACACCAAGGAAUGCAACCAGGGAGUCAUUUGACCUACCUGAGCCUUUACCUUCUCAACUCAAAGAUGACUCCUUGCUUCAUGAGGCUACAAAGAGGUUGUGGGACAGACCUCACUGCUCUGAAUCUCUAUCUCCUUGUCCAUGAAAUGAGAAUAUUAAUUAUACCUAAUUCAUGGGGUUUGGAGAAGUUUAGAACCUUACGUGAAAAAUAAUUAAUGAGCUUGGCAUGUCUAGCUGCUCAGUAAAUGGUUGCAAGCUAUCGAGAUCUCAAUUAAGAAAGCUCAAGCAGAAAGAACAAUUUAUUCAAAAGCUCUUCCAUCUUCCCCCUCUCUCCCUACAACACUAUUUUUAAGGCCUACCCCCUCAGCCCUUUGGAAACUGACAACUAUAAAUGUUUGAAGAUACAACAGACUCCCUCUGGAAGUAGUAAACUCCUUGUUCCCAGAGAAAAAUGAACAAAAACUAGAUAAUGUAUUGGGGGCACAUAGCAGAAGGGCUUCAACCAGCUGAUGGGAUGGAGGUGAGGGGAGGAAGGCACAAGGCUAUAGGCCCUCAAUGAUCUUUUCCAGACUCUCUCUCCCAUAGUGCCCACCCAUCCCCGGAUUUCGGGAUGGGCAGUGACCACUGAAAACUCUCAUCUGGGCAACACUAAGGAAAAUCCUGCUGAGAAUUGUCCAUCAGAAAAGUCCAUGAUACACAGGCCCCUCCACAUCGCCAUGCAUGCCUGUGUUUGGGUGAUAUCCCUUUCUUAGAGCUGGGGGUGGGGGCCAAUCCUACAAGAAAAUUUGGUGCUGAUGGCUGGCCAGUGGAACCCUCAGUCAGAGCCUGGCUAACAAGGGAUCUGCAGUGAUCACGGAGAAUCCUUAGACCAGAAAUGAGCCUUCUCGAGGGCAGGAAUGAAGAACUCAGGAGACCAGCUCAUUGACCUUCCCUCCUGGACCUUCUCAGGCAUCUACACCACAUAUCAGAACUGGGCACAAACACAGACCAGUCAUCUGAUUACAUAAUUCUCUGCUCUGGGAGGGACGGGGUGCAGCACAAUCCCUUGGUGGGGAGGUUUUCCUUCAAAAAGCAUAGUCAAGGGGCACCUGGGGGGCUCAGUGGUUGAACAUCUGCCUUUGGCUCAGGGCGUGAUCCCAGGGUCCUG